Molecule: non-coding RNA, 20 nt
Filed under: Rattus norvegicus (Norway rat)
Lineage: Eukaryota; Metazoa; Chordata; Mammalia; Rodentia; Muridae
Source: RNAcentral
CGCUAGGUCUUGAUGCUCCU